GACGAACGCUGGCGGCGUGCUUAACACAUGCAAGUCGAACGGAAAGGCCCUGCUUGUGUGGGGUGCUCGAGUGGCGAACGGGUGAGUAACACGUGAGUAACCUGCCCUUGACUUUGGGAUAACUUCAGGAAACUGGGGCUAAUACCGGAUAGGAGCUCCUGCUGCAUGGUGGGGGUGGGAAAGUUUCGGCGGUUGGGGAUGGACUCGCGGCUUAUCAGCUUGUUGGUGGGGUAGUGGCUUACCAAGGCUUUGACGGGUAGCCGGCCUGAGAGGGUGACCGGCCACAUUGGGACUGAGAUACGGCCCAGACUCCUACGGGAGGCAGCGGUGGGGAAUAUUGCCCAAUGGGCGGAAGCCUGAUGCAGCAACGCCGCGUGCGGGAUGACGGCCUUCGGGCUGUAAACCGCUUUCGCCUGUGACGAAGCGUGAGUGACGGUAAUGGGUAAAGAAGCACCGGCUAACUACGUG
Molecule: ribosomal RNA, 468 nt
Filed under: uncultured bacterium
Lineage: Bacteria
Description: partial 16S ribosomal RNA
Rfam family: Bacterial small subunit ribosomal RNA
Source: RNAcentral